UUAAUGUCAGUAUGAAUGUUUAAUAAUUAUACAUAUAGUACAUGUAAAAUUAAUAAUCUUUCAUUAUUUAUAUGUUCUUUUACAAUAUCAUCUGGUUUAUUCUUAUGAAAUCAUUCUCAAUAGUAUUUAUUUUUUGUUAUUGCAAAAGUUCACUUGUAAUUACUUAAACAAACAAAUGUUUAUAUUUUUAUUUUGAUACUAUAUAUACAUAUGUAUGUACGCAUACACACACACACACACACACAUAUAUAUAUAUAUAUAUACAUAAAUAUAUGAAAUGCAUGUUUUAGUAUCAUUAGAAAAAUAGUUAAUUUUUCUUUCAAUAGAUAGAUAAAUAUGAUACUGUGUACAGAUAGAUACGAUACAAUGAUGACUAAAGUGUUACACAUAAUAUUGUAUAGAACCAAGUAUUGUGGUCAUGGAUGUAUGUAUUGUCAGAAAGUUGAAGAAAAUUGCUUCUACAGGUGAAACUGAUGAGAAACGAUAUUGAGACAAAUAUAACCCUAAUACUGAAAAAGCAUAAAUAUUAUAUGGUGAUAUAGUGGAAAGCAAUUAAAAGUAUCUACAUAAUACAUACUAAUAUACAGAAAAAUGAAUAUUUUACAUAUAGAAGCAAUGAAAAUGUGGAAAAAAAAACACCUAAUUGUGUUUCAUAUGGUUACCAUAAUAUUACUAUUAUAAAAGUGUGAAAAAGCAAUGACUUUAAAUAUCAAUGGAAUAACAUCAAGAUUUAAAUUGAUAUUAUUAUGAAUGAUACAAUUUUAUAUAAAACAGUAAGCUAUAACUUCUAGUAGUAAAUAUUCGUAUGAUACAAUUCCUAUAUGGUUCAUAUGAAACACAUAAAGCUUUGCACAUAAAGACUAAUUCUCUGUUUUCAGAGAAUUCUGUCAUCAUUCCGCAUUCACAAUUGGAAGAACAUUCCUCUUGUAUUUCCAAGAAGCUAAUUAUAAUGAAAAAUUAAA
Vespa crabro (European hornet) is the source of this 962-nucleotide long non-coding RNA. RefSeq lists it as uncharacterized. The record is from RefSeq and is a predicted model, not a curated record. The transcript has 2 exons. Lineage: Eukaryota; Metazoa; Arthropoda; Insecta; Hymenoptera; Vespidae.